GAGACAGCAGUAGCCGCGGUAAUACGUAGGUGGCAAGCGUUGUCCGGAAUUAUUGGGCGUAAAGGGCUCGCAGGCGGUUUCUUAAGUCUGAUGUGAAAGCCCACGGCUCAACCGUGGAGGGUCAUUGGAAACUGUUAAACUUGAGUGCAGGAGAGAAAAGUGGAAUUCCUAGUGUAGCGGUGAAAUGCGUAGAGAUUAGGAGGAACACCAGUGGCGAAGGCGGCUUUUUGGCCUGUAACUGACACUGAGGCGCGAAAGCGUGGGGAGCAAACAGGAUUAGAUACCCCAUAGUCCCUGUCUCUUAUACA
Molecule: ribosomal RNA, 308 nt
Filed under: uncultured bacterium
Lineage: Bacteria
Description: partial 16S ribosomal RNA
Rfam family: Bacterial small subunit ribosomal RNA
Source: RNAcentral